AUCCAGCUGACGAGUCCUAAAUAGAACGAAACGCGUGUCCUGGAU
This 45-nucleotide non-coding RNA is filed under the name Schistosoma mansoni. Lineage: Eukaryota; Metazoa; Platyhelminthes; Trematoda; Strigeidida; Schistosomatidae. The record is from RNAcentral.